AUCCUAAGGAGACAUUUGGAUAUUCAUGUCAGUCAUAUUGUUGAUUAUUCUAUUUUGGGAGGUGGUUACUGGGUUAUUUUUAUGGUUCUAACAAUAGGGAUAUCACUCUUCACUGCAUCCUUAAUUGUAGAGGGCCCCAGAAAUGAUUUUUUCUCAGAAAGGAAUCCUCCUACUCCUUGUCUCUGUCUCUCCUGCCAUCACUCACCAGGCUCGUGUUUAUUGAGCACAUGCUGUGCUGAGGGUGAAGGUUUUGUGCUCUGGAGACAGAGAAGUGUCAGUAUAAAUCCUGGUUUCCGGCUCUGGGACCUGAACAUGUUGCUUUAAGUCUUUGAGCUUUCGAUUUUUUCGGAUGGCAAAGGCAAUCCUAGAACCUGACUUAUAGGGCACAUGGCAAGAGUCUCCUUAUCAAGGGAGCACUGGAUAAACAGAGCCACUACCAUUGUUUCUACGGCUGGGCACUGACUUGUCCUUACUGAGUUUAUAAUCUUGCUGGGGAGGCAAGAUGAAGGCUUCUCAGUCAAGGACGUGAUGCAAGAAUGAAUGGGCUUACUGUUCACAAUAGCCAAGACAAGGAAGCAAAUGAAAAGUCCAUCCACAGAGGAAUGGAUAAAGAAGAUGUGGUAUACAUAUGCAAUGGAAUACUAUUCAGCCAUCAAAAAGGAAUGAAAUAAUGCCAUUUGCAGCAACACAGAUGGACCUAGAGAGGAUCAUACUAAGUGAAGUAAAUCAGACAGAAAGACAAAUACUAUAUGAUGUUGUUUAUAUGUGGAAUCUAAAAAAGGAUACAAAGUAACUUACUUACAAAACUGAAAUAGACCCAGAGACAUAGAAAGCAAACUUAUGGUUGCCAAAGGGGAAUGGGGAGGGGAAUGAGAAGAUUGGGAGUAAAAUAUACACACUACUAUAUAUAGAAGAGUUAACUAAGGGAGUUCCUGAUGUGGCUCAGCAGGUUAAGACCUGACAUAGUGUCUGUGAGGAUGCUGGUUCGAUCCCUAGCCUCACUUAGUGAGUUAAGGAUCUGGGGAGUUCCCUAAAUGACUCAGUGGUUAACGAAUCUGACUAGGAACCAUGACCUUGCUCAGUGAGUUAAGGAUCCCUGGCCUUGCUCAGUGGGUUAAGGAUCUGGCAUUGCCGUGAGCUUUGGUGUAGGUGGAAGACGAGAUUUGGAUCCUGCAUUGCUGUGGCUGUGGCAUAGGCUGGUGGCUACAGCUCUGAUUAGACCCCUAAGCUGGGAACCUCCGCAUGCUGCUCAUGCGGCCCUAGAAAAAGACAGAAAGACAAAAAAACAAAAAAAGUAUCUGGUGUUGCCACAAGCUGUGUGUGGCACAGCUUGCAGAUGCGCUUCAGAGCCAGUGUUACUGUGGCUGUGGCCCCAGCUGCAGUUCGGAUUCGACUCCAAGCCCAGGAACUUGCAUGGGCCAUGGGCAUGGCCAAAAAUAAAUAAAUAAGUAAAUAAAUAAAUAAAAAUAGAUAACUAACAAGGACCUACUGUAGAGCACAGGGAAAUUUUCUCAAUAUUCUGUAGGGUUAUAGGAUUUCUCAAUAGCCUAUAAUGGAAGAGGCUGUAGAAAAAGAAUAUAUAUACGUAUAACUUAAUCAUUUUCCUAUACACAUGAAACUAAUGCAAUGUUAUAAAUCAACUGUAUUUCCCUAAAAUUAAAAAAAAAAUGAAGAGGUGUUUCCUUCGUGGCACAGCGGAAAUGAAUCUGACUAGGAACUGUAAGGUUGCAGGUUGGAUUCCUGGCCUUACCCAUGAGCGAGGCCAGGGAUCGAACCCACAUCCUCAUGGUUCCCGGUCGAUUUGUUUCCACUGCACCAUAAUGGGAACGCCUACAUUUUCUAAUUGUGUAUUUAUUUGAGUGUCUAGUGUUUGUCUUCCCACCGGAGUCUAAGUUUCCUGAGAGGAGGGACCACCUCUGUCUCAUUUCCUGUUGUUUCUGGAGUACCUAGCUCCAUACCUGGUAUAUGGUAUGUGGUCAUAAAUACCCUUAAUUAAUUAAUUAAUGUGUUGGCAUGAGGAAAUUCCUGGGGCAAGGAUUGAACUCUUGCCACAGCAGCAAAAAUGCAGAUCCUUAAUCUACGGAGCCAUCAGGGAACUCCUCAUAAAUACCUUUUUAUCAGCUAUAAUGGAAAAAAUAAAAAUUAUUAUUAAAAAAAUAAAUACCUUUCAAAUAAAUGAAUAGUAUAGAGGAGAAUAACUUGUUGGAGGAGUCAUUUGAUUUGGGUUUUGGUGCUAUAACUUGCUGUAUAGUUUUGCUGUAACUUGUGUGAUUUUUAUAAGGAGUAUCAUUUCCUAGCUUACAAGCUCUGAUCAUUUGUUUAAAUCAAAAAACAAAACAAAACAACAACACCAAACCUUGCCCUCAUUCAGGCCUAUUGGGGUGUUCCCUUGUGGUGCAGUAGGUUAAGGACUCAGCAUUGUCACUGUAGUGGCAAAAACAAACAAACAAACAAACAAAAACAACCAAAAACCCUGUUAGGAACUGAUUUUCAGAGGUAUAUGAAUGCUUUUGUCUUAACUUUGGUCAGAGUUUGGUCAGAGUCUUAGGCUUUGUCCAUGUUUUUCUGUGAAGAUAAAUAGAGUUCCUUCAUUGAAGUUUCUGCCUUUGUUUAUCAUGAACCCUGGUGGGCUGGAGUGAAACUAAUUUCCUUUAGGAGUUCUCAUCAUGGUGCAGCGGAAACGAAUCUGACUAGGAACCAUGAGGUGGCAGGUUCGAUCUCUGGCCUUGCUCCAUGGGUUAAGGAUCCGGUGUUGCUGUGAACUGUGGUGUAAGUUGCAGACACAGUUGGAUCCCACGUGGCUGUGGCUGUGGCUAUGGACCCCUAGCCUGGGAACCUCCAUAUGCCAAGCAUGCGGCCCUAAAAAGCAAAAAAAAAAAAAAAA
This 2884-nucleotide long non-coding RNA is filed under the name Sus scrofa (pig). RNAcentral's name for it is "lncRNA (ENSSSCG00005010462.1)". Lineage: Eukaryota; Metazoa; Chordata; Mammalia; Artiodactyla; Suidae. The record is from RNAcentral.